UGGGGAAUCUUGCACAAUGGGGGCAACCCUGAUGCAGCGACGCCGCGUGAGCGAUGAAGCCCUUCGGGGCGUAAAGCUCUUUCGACCGGAACGAUAAUGACGGUACCGGGAGAAGAAGCUGCGGCUAACUACGUGCCAGCAGCCGCGGUAAUACGUAGGCAGCAAGCGUUGUUCGGAGUUACUGGGCGUAAAGAGUGCGUAGGCGGUUUCCUAAGUUCGGUGUGAAAUCUCCCGGCUUAACUGGGAGGGUGCGCCGAAGACUGGGAAGCUGGAGUGUGGGAAAGGCAGGCGGAAUUCCUGGUGUAGCGGUGAAAUGCGUAGAUAUCAGGAGGAACACCGGCGGUGUAGACGGCUUGCUAGACCAUAACUGACGCUGAGGCACGAAAGCGUGGGUAGCAAACA
Molecule: ribosomal RNA, 402 nt
Filed under: uncultured bacterium
Lineage: Bacteria
Description: bacterial SSU rRNA
Rfam family: Bacterial small subunit ribosomal RNA
Source: RNAcentral